GUCUUUUUAGGGCCACACCUGCGACAUAUGGAAGUUCCCAGGCUAGAGGUCGAAUCGGAGCUAUAGCUGCCGGCCUCCACCACAGCCGCAUCAGAUUCGAGCAGCGUCUGUGACCUACAGCCAGCUCACGGCAACACCAGACCCCUAACCUACUGAUCAAGGCCAGGGAUUGAACUCGUGUCCUCACAGAUACUAGUCAGGUUCAUAACCCACUGAAUCACACUGGGACUUCCCCAUCCCUUUCUCUUCUUACCAUAGGAUCCCACAGGCCACUGGUUCUCAUCCUUGACUGAUUGCAAUCACUUUGGGGAGCUCGAAAAGGAAGAACAAAACACACAACACACUGUUUAUGUCCCCAAAUCUCUGAUCCAGACAGUGCCUGGGCAGCAGCAUUCAAGGCAGCGAGCACAGAGAACAUGGCCAGAGACCGAAGGGGACAGUGGGAAAAUUGCUGUGUGGUGGCGUGGUGGCAGGAGUAAUUUUUUUUUUUUUUGCCUUUUCUAGGGCUGGGCCUGCGGCAUAUGGAGGUUCCCAGGCUAAGGGUCGAAUCGGAGCUGUAGCCUCCGGCCUAUGUCAGAGCCACAGCAAUGCGGGACCCGAGCCGCCUCUGCGACCCACACCACAGCUCACAGCAAUGCUGGAUCCUUAACCCACUGAGCAAGGCCAGGGAUUGAACCUGUAACCUCAUGGUUCCUAGUCAGAUUCGUUAACCACUGCGCCACGACAGGAACUCCAGGAGUAAUUUUUUACAGCUAAGAUGCUCCAUAGAAAGAAAACAUGGGAAGAACUAAAGUAUUAAGUUAUCUUAGGUCUUUUCCAACCCCAUUCUUCAUCUUCAGAAAAGCGUAACUGACAUGUCAGUCUAGUUCAGUGGUUCUCAAAGGGUGAUCCAGGAACCCCCAAUCCCCGUGACUCUCAGGAGUCCAGAAUCCAAGGUACUCCCCUAACAACAUUGGUAUUUGCCUUGUUCACUUUUCCUCACAAGCUUAGUGUUUUCCAGAGGAUAAAUAAUGUGACAGCAAUGACAUGGCUCUGUAGCAAAUGUCGUCUUAAAAACAAUUCCGUUUCUAACAGGACACCUAUCAACUGAUAGAGCCCUAAAGACAAAACUCCUUGACAGUCUUCAGUACAUUUUAAAGGAGUAAGGGGGUUCCUGAGAGCAAAAAUUUGGAAUCAUAGCCAGGAUCCAGGGACCUAAAAUUUUCAUUUUUCCUUUAGCUCUGGGUAUAGACUUGUCUAAUCUGUUCUUUAAAGUCAGUUUUGACAAAUGGUGAGUCAACACCUGGGCUUGUGGGUUUUUUAGUCACUAAAAACAAUACCGCCUAAGAGCCAACAGAAUAGGAAGAACUUCUGGGAAGCAACGAGCAGCCCGUCUGGAACAUGAAUCAAAGCAUGAAACGAAUCUGCAACUUGGAUUCGCUCCACAGAUUGCAGAGUAACUAGACAAGGGGUUCGGGAACCCAGAGGGUCUGGACCCAACUGGCUGUAUGUUGGGUGAAACGUGCAACAGCUUGGAAGUCACUUCAAGUGGGAACCCACCCAAUUCCAGACCCACUCACGAGCCCCGGCAGACGGGGCACAUGCCGUUUCCCUCCCCGCCACCAGGUCGUUCCUUAAAUCAGACACCAGCACGAGGUUGUCAUUCACUUUUCCGCAUACUUUAUUUGUUACAAACAUACAAUUUUUUAAAUAUAGACUGUAAAACUCCAUUUGCAAAAGUCUGUUAUGGUAAGGAGUGCACACCAGCAGUAGGAUUUUUUUCUCUAUGAGUUUUUUUCUUGUCAGUUUUGCUAGUUAGUGGUAAGUACGGGACCCGCCAUUGACAGACCUGUCUGAAGCUUCUGGCUGUAUUCACGUUGCUCUUUUGAAGCAGCCCUGCUCGUCUCAAAAUUGACCGGAAUCUGAGCUUCAACGGCCAGGCAGUGAGAUCAACAGCCCGUCUAGACUCUGCUUUUGAACGGUUUCCAGGAAGUAUGAUUUCUGAAUGGGUACUGCACUUCACAGAUUUAUUUGAAUUGCCCAUGCAGCUCUGUGUUUGUUAAAGUGCAUUCUUCUUUUAAAAAAUAAGAGGAAUAAUCUUUACUCUUUAACCAAGGUACUUAAAAAAAUGAACUUUUUGGUCUCUCAGCAGAUAUUCCCAAAUUGAUCCUAUCACUACAAAUUUUAGUGUUCUAUUUACAAAUAUUUAUAGGGUAACAGGUGGAGGGGAUCUUAUAAAAUUAAAGGUGCAGCUUCUCUUGAAGCAGAGAGAUCAGUUCUACAAAUUCAUACGUAGGAAUACACACUUGGUUUACAAUGCACAAGCAUGUGGAUAUUUACACAGAGACUGAAGACAUCCCAAAAAACCCCCUUUAAAGGAACUUCCAAUCUAAACUCUAGUGGUACAUCUAGAUCAGGAAGCUCUGUCUCCUGCUAUCAAGAUUUGGUUUUAACUCAUUCAAAUUACUUCUGCAGAUUCGCUACUGGCAGGACAUGAGUCCCAACUUUGGAGUGAGGAAGAAUCUAGUCUAAGGAGGCCCCUGGCAGACAUAACCGGCAGUGAAGGAAGUAUGUUAUCUGGACAUUUCUAUCAGAAGAUGAACAGACUUCUAACAAUGGUCUUGGAAAAAACAUCUGCAGGAAGGUGCAAAAGGAAGAAUAAAUCCCUACUAAUCAUUCCAGAACUUUAGAAAAAAGUCCAAAUACACUGAUAAUCUUAGUUAUUAUUCAAAUAUUGAUAUCAUUGAAAAAAGAACCCUCAAAUUUACUUAUCUGCUACCAUAACAUACAAAACUAUAGACUCUUUUUAAGUAUGCCCUGUACUUAUUUAAAAUCAUUUUCUUGGGGGAGGGAGGGAAAAAUAAAAAAGAAAAUCAGUUUCUAGACUUUUGUCCAAUCUAUUAACUUCUAGGGAUCCAGAGAGCUUUUGCCACAGAGGUGACAUGUGGGCUGGGAGAGGGUUUAAGCCUCAUAUCUGAACAGUUUAAAAUGUACCUGUUUUUCAAUUUUCAACUUUCUCUCCCCAGUUAUGUCCCUGAAAAAGGAAUUUUAAAAGAGGAAAAAUCUACUACUUGCCAUUCUAGUUCCAAAUAUGGGUGAGGAUUUUUUAAGCCCAGUCUGAUCUUGCAAUGUAGGGCAAGCCCAGGGAUGAGAGUUUGCCUUAAGAAAUAAGAGAUCAUCUAAAUCAAUUUCUUCAACGACUCAGCCACUGAUGUAUUAGAGCAGGGAU
This 3208-nucleotide long non-coding RNA is filed under the name Sus scrofa (pig). RNAcentral describes it as "lncRNA (ENSSSCG00000056939.1)". The record is from RNAcentral. Lineage: Eukaryota; Metazoa; Chordata; Mammalia; Artiodactyla; Suidae.